AAAAUAGAUGUUUAGCUACAGCAUGUUAGCAUGGAUCACAUUUAUAAACAAAGAAAAGCGAAAACGGAAGGAUUUUGGCGUUUUUCAAGCAUCAUGCCCUGGCUUUCCUGGUGUAAACAACGCCAUAUGCGUUUGUGUGCCUCUGCAGAGCCAUAGAAGAAAAGCUGAUUAGUUAUAGAGGAAUAGGACACCCACCCACCCUCCCACCCUACCCCUUGAAGCAUUACAGAUUAUGCAGGACCAAGCAGGAUGACAGUGAGAAAACUGGAGAUGUACUUUUUCAACAAAGUAAAGUGCUGUGCAAAAGAAACCCCAAAGCAGAGAGAAGAUCUAGACUUUUGAAUUCAUAUCUCAUUAUAAAUGUACAAUUUACAAAGACAAUAAGAUUGAUAAAACAUGACUUAGAAAUGAGGACAAUUGAAGAGUGAAUACUGUAUGUAAGACAGAAAAGAUCAAGAUUAUUGCACAAAAAGUAACUAAAUCAGUAAUCUUAAGACAUUUCUCUUUAAAAUCUGAUUGAAAGCUGCAUUUAAGAACAAGUUUUUCACGUUUUUAGUACUUUUCUAGGCACUGCUUUGUAUUAUUUAAAGCUUUUUUAUGUACUUUUUGUCUAUCAUUCUUGUACCUUU
Long non-coding RNA from Saccostrea cuccullata (small rock oyster), 629 nucleotides. RefSeq lists it as uncharacterized. The transcript is spliced from 3 exons. Lineage: Eukaryota; Metazoa; Mollusca; Bivalvia; Ostreida; Ostreidae. The record is from RefSeq and is a predicted model, not a curated record.